UGGGGAAUAUUGGACAAUGGGCGAAAGCCUGAUCCAGCCAUGCCGCGUGAGUGAUGAAGGCCCUAGGGUUGUAAAGCUCUUUUGUGCGGGAAGAUAAUGACGGUACCGCAAGAAUAAGCCCCGGCUAACUUCGUGCCAGCAGCCGCGGUAAUACGAAGGGGGCUAGCGUUGCUCGGAAUCACUGGGCGUAAAGGGUGCGUAGGCGGGUUUCUAAGUCAGAGGUGAAAUCCUGGAGCUCAACUCCAGAACUGCCUUUGAUACUGGAAGUCUUGAGUUCGGGAGAGGUGAGUGGAACUGCGAGUGUAGAGGUGAAAUUCGUAGAUAUUCGCAAGAACACCAGUGGCGAAGGCGGCUCACUGGCCCGAUACUGACGCUGAGGCACGAAAGCGUGGGGAGCAAACA
This 402-nucleotide ribosomal RNA is filed under the name uncultured bacterium. Its description in RNAcentral is "bacterial SSU rRNA". It matches the Rfam family "Bacterial small subunit ribosomal RNA", at positions 355 to 774 of the family's 1533-position model. The record is from RNAcentral.